Molecule: ribosomal RNA, 449 nt
Filed under: Salmonella enterica
Lineage: Bacteria; Pseudomonadati; Pseudomonadota; Gammaproteobacteria; Enterobacterales; Enterobacteriaceae
Description: bacterial SSU rRNA
Rfam family: Bacterial small subunit ribosomal RNA
Source: RNAcentral
AAAUUGAAGAGUUUGAUCAUGGCUCAGAUUGAACGCUGGCGGCAGGCCUAACACAUGCAAGUCGAACGGUAACAGGAAGCAGCUUGCUGCUUCGCUGACGAGUGGCGGACGGGUGAGUAAUGUCUGGGAAACUGCCUGAUGGAGGGGGAUAACUACUGGAAACGGUGGCUAAUACCGCAUAACGUCGCAAGACCAAAGAGGGGGACCUUCGGGCCUCUUGCCAUCAGAUGUGCCCAGAUGGGAUUAGCUUGUUGGUGAGGUAACAGCUCACCAAGGCGACGAUCCCUAGCUGGUCUGAGAGGAUGACCAGCCACACUGGAACUGAGACACGGUCCAGACUCCUACGGGAGGCAGCAGUGGGGAAUAUUGCACAAUGGGCGCAAGCCUGAUGCAGCCAUGCCGCGUGUAUGAAGAAGGCCUUCGGGUUGUAAAGUACUUUCAGCGGGGAG